RNAcentral lists this ribosomal RNA (44 nucleotides) under uncultured Russulaceae. RNAcentral's name for it is "partial 18S ribosomal RNA". Lineage: Eukaryota; Fungi; Basidiomycota; Agaricomycetes; Russulales; Russulaceae. The record is from RNAcentral.
GAGUCGUACAGGUUUCCGUAGGUGAACCUGCGGAAGGAUCAUUA